AUUGCUUUUUAGGGCCACACCUGCGGCAUGUGGAAGUUCCCAGGCUAGGGGUCAAAUUGGAGCUACAGCUGCAGGCCCAUGUCACAGCCAGAGCAAUGCAGGAUCUGAGCCACGACCACAGCUCAUGGCAAUGCCAGAUCCUUGACCUACUGAGUGAGGCCAGGGAUCGAAUCCACAUCCUCAUGGAUCCUAGUUAGUUUGCUUAGAACAGUGUCUAGCAUAUAGUACAUAUUCAGUAAGUUCAGGCCACUAAAAUAUAAUGUGGCAAUUAUUAGUAGUAUUCCUAAUUAAUAAGCAUAAGAAUUUAGGUUUUAAAAUAUGAUCUUUUAACUCCACACUAAAGUCUUUUUUCAUUACAGAACAGUUGUCUCAGAUUAUUUCAUUAUUUCCCCAAAGUCAUUUAGGUGUCAUAUGGCAUCACAGAAACACAUAGCUGAAUAAAAUUUGUAUUAUAUAGUAUAGAAACAUAACUAAUUUAGUGCUAAAAUACUAAGCAGCUACUUAAAAAUUAAACACUAAAUUACAUAGUAUUUUUCCUCACCCUUACAUGUAGUAAAAUUCACCCUCAAGUGUAUAGUUCUGAGUUUUGACAAACACAAGCAGUCAUGUGACUACUAUGUAGAAUAAUUCUUAGAGAUCAUUUUUGGGCAGAAUCGUAUUUGAAAAUUCUAGAAGGAAUUUUUCUAACAUUAGAAGCCAAUGUAAAUGCUUUUCCUUGAUUAAGGGACUUGAAAGAUACUUGAAAUUUGAUAGUGAUUUUCAUUCAUUUAUUCAUUGAGUCAAGAAGUAUUUACUAAGUUCUUCCUACAUGUAUGGUAUUGUGUUGUUGUUUAUAAAGAUGAAGAAAUGUCUCUAAGUUUCCUACCUUGAAAAGAAUAUAAUAGUUUUGCUUUACACUUCUACCUAAUAGAUAAGUCAGGAUAGAGAAAUAAUAGGGCUUUUCAUAAAUCCACUUUAAAACGAGUGCAUGAAAAGAAGGAUGACAAACUGUCAGUUCUUCCCUAAUUAGCAUGUAUUAAAACAAUAAUAUCCUCUCUCCCUAUAAGACCUAAAACUCAGUUUAGGUUCUCAAAUAUUUGUUGUAGACAGCCCAUCACUGGGUAGAUACAGUCCUUGUCCUCAUGCAGUCUGUAGCAUUAUAGAGCAGAUAAUUAUAAUACAAGGCAGAAAAUGAUCAAAGGAACAAAAUGAUAUGUAUUCAGAAAGAGGUGGGAAUGUUGAGGUGAGAGAAUCAGUAAAGACUUUAUCAUAGAAUAUGUAUAAUUCAUUACGAUUAUUAUAAUUGAGCAAAAAGCUCUGAGAUCAUAACAAAAGUCAGGGUAUUUCUAAACUAAAAUGUAUCAGUAUAACUAUAUGCCUAAUAGGUAUCUGCAUUGUUUCCUAUAUUCCUUUACCUAUUUACUUAAGAAGUUACAUCAUUUACUAUUCUAAUUUUUUUUUAAUGUUUCCAUUAAUUCGGGUAGACUCUGAGUUACUGAAGGGAAACUUCUGCAUCUUAUUCUUUGACUUUCCAGAUUCUCUCUCAGUGUCUGAGGCUAAGUUUGGUAUUCCUUAAACAUUUUCUUUAUAUGAAUACAUGAAUAAAUAAAUGAAUGGAAUAUAAAAUUAAAAAAAAAAAAGACUAUCACAGAGGUAGUAUUCAAACAGGGUCUUGAAAAAGAGGUGGAAUUUUGACAAAAGCUAUGGAUAGAGGGAGGAGAAAAGUUUAGUAUGCUAUAAAGCUGCCGCACUGUCCAAUAUGGUAGUCACUGGCUACAGCUGGCUAUUUAAAUUCGAAUUCAAAUUAAAUAAAAAUAAAAAUACAGCUUCUCAGUCAUACUAGUCACAUUUCAAAUGCUUAAUAGCCACAUGUGGCUAGUGGCUACCAUACUGAACAGAACAGUAGAAUAUUUCCAUCAUAACAGAAAGUCCUAUUGGACAGUGUUUCUAUAGAAGGAACAGCAGUGAAAGGUCAGGAGGUGGAAACAAUGAAUUAUCCAAAUCCCUGUUCAAACCCUUGGACAAAAUACCAGAAAUAAUGGUAUAUCCCUGUAUUUCUCCUCAAAUAUAAAUUGGAAAUUUUAUAUGCCUAUGUAAAGAUCAAUGACUCAAUUGUUUCGCUGGCUGGUCUGGUUCAAUUGUCAUGCUGAGUUCAUACUAUAAAUCAAUAAUGAAGACAUAAAACCUAACAGGCCUAUCUAAUUGCUCCAUCUAUCUGAGCAUGCAGAUCACAGUGGCUGAAAGCCAGGCCCUAGGGCCCAGCCAAGUGUGGGUGCUGCUGUUUCUUCUGGCAGGGGCCUGUUAGCUGACUGGGUCCAAGCUGAAUGGCUUGGGCCUGUCACAGUUGCAGUUCCCUAAGAACAUGCUCAUUAGUAAAUCAUUUGCUGCUUUGGAACUAGUAGCAGAAUCUAUUGCAAAACCUAAAGGCAAGCAAAGGUUUGAGGAAACCACAACCCAGAGGAACAAGUCCUGUUGUAUGAACAUGGAUGAAAUGAGCCAGGUUAGACGGCAGUCACUGAUAAAUUUAUGAAGGUGCAGACUUCAGCCUUUUGAUAAGAGUUGCUGUGAGCUCUGAGAGAAGGGUGGUUUAGCCAAAGUUGAGGUGGAGUUUUUAUAGAUCUGCCAGGUCCUCACUUGUCUGGGGUCUAAAUGGACAGAAGUGUGUAGGGACAGGAAUCCGUGUAUCAAGGCUUUCUAAAUCAAUGAGAGUCUAAAAUGUGUGUUUUCAUUAGUAAAGAAAAAAAAAAAGCCUAGAAAAUCAAUCAUCUGCACAAAUCAAAGGCAGCUGCAAAUACACUGAAUCCGUACUUUUUGGUUAUGUGUUUUCUCUUAAUUUUAUAUCCAAUCAUUGCUUACAACUGGACUUUGAUUCCUUUAAAAUAUUUUUCAGUAAUACUUAAAUUUUAAUGUACAUAUUUCUGAGGAGGUUCGGUUUUUUGGGGGUGGGGGUAUCAUUAGGCAUUUUAUUUACAUGCUUAUUGGACAACAGGUCAUUGUCUUCUCUUAAAAGGGCUCAAGAGUACCAGAAAAAAGGAGGUGAAAAAAACCCCGUGUGAUACUAAAUUUAAAUAAUUACUUUUCAAAAGUAAGAUAUAGUAUACAUCCUGGGUAUAAAUGCACUUACUUUGUUUUUCUUUUUUUCUUUUCUAGGGCCGCUUCCCACGGCAUAGUUCCCAGGCUAGGGGUCUAAUUGGAGCUGUAGACCCUGGCCUACGCCAGAGCCACAGCAACGCGGGAU
This 3217-nucleotide long non-coding RNA is filed under the name Sus scrofa (pig). RNAcentral describes it as "lncRNA (ENSSSCG00000050516.1)". The record is from RNAcentral. Lineage: Eukaryota; Metazoa; Chordata; Mammalia; Artiodactyla; Suidae.